GACGAACGCUGGCGGCGUGCUUAACACAUGCAAGUCGAACGGAAAGGCCCUGCUUUUGUGGGGUGCUCGAGUGGCGAACGGGUGAGUAACACGUGAGUAACCUGCCCUUGACUUUGGGAUAACUUCAGGAAACUGGGGCUAAUACCGGAUAGGAGCUCCUGCUGCAUGGUGGGGGUUGGAAAGUUUCGGCGGUUGGGGAUGGACUCGCGGCUUAUCAGCUUGUUGGUGGGGUAGUGGCUUACCAAGGCUUUGACGGGUAGCCGGCCUGAGAGGGUGACCGGCCACAUUGGGACUGAGAUACGGCCCAGACUCCUACGGGAGGCAGCAGUGGGGAAUAUUGCACAAUGGGCGGAAGCCUGAUGCAGCAACGCCGCGUGCGGGAUGACGGCCUUCGGGUUGUAAACCGCUUUCGCCUGUGACGAAGCGUGAGUGACGGUAAUGGGUAAAGAAGCACCGGCUAACUACGUGCCAGCAGCCGCGGUGAUACGUAGGGUGCGAGCGUUGUCCGGAUUUAUUGGGCGUAAAGGGCUCGUAGGUGGUUGAUCGCGUCGGAAGUGUAAUCUUGGGGCUUAACCCUGAGCGUGCUUUCGAUACGGGUUGACUUGAGGAAGGUAGGGGAGAAUGGAAUUCCUGGUGGAGCGGUGGAAUGCGCAGAUAUCAGGAGGAACACCAGUGGCGAAGGCGGUUCUCUGGGCCUUUCCUGACGCUGAGGAGCGAAAGCGUGGGGAGCGAACAGGCUUAGAUACCCUGGUAGUCCACGCUGUAAACGGUGGGUACUAGGUGUGGGGUCCAUUCCACGGGUUCCGUGCCGUAGCUAACGCUUUAAGUACCCCGCCUGGGGAGUACGGCCGCAAGGCUAAAACUCAAAGGAAUUGACGGGGCCUCGCACAAGCGGCGGAGCAUGCGGAUUAAUUCGAUGCAACGCGUAGAACCUUACCUGGGUUUGACAUGGAUCGGGAGUGCUCAGAGAUGGGUGUGCCUCUUUUGGGGUCGGUUCACAGGUGGUGCAUGGCUGUCGUCAGCUCGUGUCGUGAGAUGUUGGGUUAAGUCCCGCAACGAGCGCAACCCUUGUUCACUGUUGCCAGCACGUUAUGGUGGGGACUCAGUGGAGACCGCCGGGGUCAACUCGGAGGAAGGUGGGGAUGACGUCAAGUCAUCAUGCCCCUUAUGUCCAGGGCUUCACGCAUGCUACAAUGGCUGGUACAGAGAGUGGCGAGCCUGUGAGGGUGAGCGAAUCUCGGAAAGCCGGUCUCAGUUCGGAUUGGGGUCUGCAACUCGACCUCAUGAAGUCGGAGUCGCUAGUAAUCGCAGAUCAGCAACGCUGCGGUGAAUACGUUCCCGGGGCU
This 1346-nucleotide ribosomal RNA is filed under the name uncultured bacterium. RNAcentral's name for it is "partial 16S ribosomal RNA". It matches the Rfam family "Bacterial small subunit ribosomal RNA", at positions 28 to 1381 of the family's 1533-position model. The record is from RNAcentral.